UUUUUUCUACGGGGCGCAGCAGUGAGGAAUAUUGGUCAAUGGGCGGAAGCCUGAACCAGCCAAGUCGCGUGAGGGAAUAAGGCCCUACGGGUCGUAAACCUCUUUUGCCGGGGAGCAAGGGCGGGGAUGUGUCCCGGCCCGGAGAGUACCCGGAGAAAAAGCAUCGGCUAACUCCGUGCCAGCAGCCGCGGUAAUACGGAGGAUGCGAGCGUUAUCCGGAUUUAUUGGGUUUAAAGGGUGCGUAGGCGGGCUUUUAAGUCAGCGGUAAAAAUUCGGGGCUCAACCCCGUCCGUCCGUUGGAACUG
RNAcentral lists this ribosomal RNA (305 nucleotides) under uncultured bacterium. Its description in RNAcentral is "bacterial SSU rRNA". It matches the Rfam family "Bacterial small subunit ribosomal RNA", at positions 333 to 635 of the family's 1533-position model. The record is from RNAcentral.